Molecule: unclassified non-coding RNA, 410 nt
Filed under: uncultured fungus
Lineage: Eukaryota; Fungi
Description: sequence contains ITS2
Rfam family: 5.8S ribosomal RNA (bases 1-153)
Source: RNAcentral
AACUUUCGGCAACGGAUCACUUGGUUCUCGCAUCGAUGAAGAACGCAGCGAAAUGCGAUACGUAAUGUGAAUUGCAGAUUCAGUGAAUCAUCGAAUCUUUGAACGCAUAUUGCACUCUUUGGUAUUCCGAAGAGUAUGCCUGUUUCAGUAUCAUAAAACUCUCACAAAGCCAAGCUUUUGUGGACCUGGGCUUGCAAGAUCUGUUGAUUUUGCUCGUCUAAAAUGCAUUUCUUGAUCUCCAAACGCUGAUUUUGCUUAAUAGUUUUGGCCUUUGUGCUGAAUCUUUGGCUUUAUCAAUGAAUAAACGGCUUCAAGAUUUACGAUUUAAUUGGCCUUUGAGCCUCUCAAAAUUUGAUCUGAAAUCAGGUAGGACUACCCGCUGAACUUAAGCAUAUCAAUAAGCGGAGGCU